CCUACGGGGGGCAGCAGUGGGGAAUAUUGGGCAAUGGAGGAAACUCUGACCCAGCAACGCCGCGUGAAUGAUGAAUGUCUUCGGAUUGUAAAGUUCUUUUCUAAGGGAAGAAAAAAGUGACGGUACCUUAGGAAUAAGCCUCGGCUAACUACGUGCCAGCAGCCGCGGUAAUCCGUAGGAGGCAAGCGUUAUCCGGAAGGACUGGGCGUAAGGGGUGCGUAGGUGGUUUGACAAGUUGGUAGCGUAACUCCGAGGCUUAACCUCGGCACUACUACAAAAACUGGUGGACUCGAGUGCAGGAGGGGCAAAUGGAAUUCCUAGUGUAGCGGUGGAAUGCGUAGAUAUUAGGAGGAACACCAGUGGCGAAGGCGAUUUGCUGGACUGUAACUGACACUGAGGCACGAAAGCGUGGGGAGCAAACAGGAUUAGAUACCCCGGUAGUC
Molecule: ribosomal RNA, 443 nt
Filed under: uncultured bacterium
Lineage: Bacteria
Description: partial 16S ribosomal RNA
Rfam family: Bacterial small subunit ribosomal RNA
Source: RNAcentral